GUGCCAGCCGCCGCGGUAAUACAGAGGUGGCAAGCGUUGUUCGGAUUUACUGGGCGUAAAGGGUGCGUAGGCGGUCUUGUGUGUCGGAUGUGAAAUCCCACGGAUCAUCCGUGGAACUGCAUUCGAAACUGCAGGGCUUGAGUACAGGAGAGGAAGGUGGAAUUCUCGGUGUAGCGGUGAAAUGCGUUGAUAUCGAGAGGAACGCCGGAGGCGAAGGCGACCUUCUGGACUGUAACUGACGCUGAGGCACGAAAGCUAGGGGAGCAAACAGGAUUAGAAACCCUCGUAGUCC
RNAcentral lists this ribosomal RNA (292 nucleotides) under uncultured bacterium. Its description in RNAcentral is "partial 16S ribosomal RNA". It matches the Rfam family "Bacterial small subunit ribosomal RNA", at positions 505 to 796 of the family's 1533-position model. The record is from RNAcentral.